This 383-nucleotide ribosomal RNA is filed under the name uncultured eukaryote. RNAcentral describes it as "partial 18S ribosomal RNA". It matches the Rfam family "Eukaryotic small subunit ribosomal RNA", at positions 592 to 976 of the family's 1831-position model. The record is from RNAcentral.
CAAUAGAGUAUAUUAAAGUUGUUGCAGUUAAAAAGCUCGUAGUUGGAUUUCUGGUGGGAGCGAUCGGUCUGGCGCUUAGCGCGAGUACUUGCAUCGUCUCCGGCCAUCCUUGGGGAAAGUCUGUCUGGCAUUAAGUUGUCGGGCAGAGGAUCCUCAUCGUUUACUGUGAAAAAAUUAGAGUGUUCAAAGCAGGCUUAUGCCGUUGAAUAUAUUAGCAUGGAAUAAUAAGAUAGGACUUUGGUACUAUUUUGUUGGUUUGCGCACCAAAGUAAUGAUUAAUAGGGACAGUUGGGGGUAUUCGUAUUCCGUUGUCAGAGGUGAAAUUCUUGGAUUUACGGAAGACGAACUACUGCGAAAGCAUUUACCAAGGAUGUUUUCAUUAA